This is a non-coding RNA of Equus caballus (horse), 8377 nucleotides long. The record is from RefSeq and is a predicted model, not a curated record. NCBI's taxonomy places the organism in Eukaryota, Metazoa, Chordata, Mammalia, Perissodactyla, Equidae.
GCUGCUGAAGCCGAGAAUGUGAACUUAACCACUCAGCCACAUGGCUGGCCCUUAAAAUAUUUUAUUUUUAGGAGAUCUUAACUCAAAUAUAUGGACAAUCCUAAAUAUGCAUAUUUGUGUUGUAUAUUACUUUUAACUCUUGGAUUAUAAUAAAGUUUUAUUGUUUUUUAUUCAUCCCAUCCCUUUACAGUGUAGAUAUUAGUGCCUUCUCUAUACAAAUUAGGAAAUGGAGUCUCAGAGAAAUUAAAGAACAAGUUUAAGGUGUCACAGCUCUUUCAUUAUAGUGCCAGUGUCUGAGCCCAAGCCAAUCGACCCCAGAGUGACAUCACCCCAUUCAAUUCUAGUCUGAUCCAGAUGCUCACAAGCAACCAGACUGCAGCUGGGGUAUGGGCAGUGCUUAUGGGUUGAAAAGGAGAUCAUGGCCAGUAUCAGACUGUCAAUAAAGCAGGUUGGGAGAAGCUUUAUGAAGCCAACCAACUAGACAGAGUAUACUAAAAAUGGUAAGAUUGUUCAUUUGUAUGGAUUUCUUGUACCCUGAAGAAUGAACUCCUACCUAUCCCUGAGUUAGUCCAGUCUGGGCAAGAAGGCUGGGGACAGUUGGCAUGUGUGAGUGUCUCCUUUGCAGCAGAGCCUCUAACAUCAUCAACAACCACAUCUCAUGUGAUACAGAGAGAUACAAUUUGUAAAUUAAUGCAACAUAAAACUAUCCUGCAGUCUGGUUCAAUUGUCUUGUCGUUUCUGUUUAGUGGACAGGACCAGUAUUAGUACGCUAAUUAUGUAGAUAAGGAAACUGAAAUGCUCAAGAAGUUCCCUGAAUUCCAAGGUCACAAGGUGAUCCUUGGUGCCAGAACCAGUCCCUUGGUUGUCUGAUUUCCAUUCAGCAUUCCUUCUAUCAUUUUUCACUGCCCAUAGAAUGAGCUUUGCUUUCUCUGACUUUUCUUAAUCGCUGCUGUGGGUUUCGUACCACUCCCUCCCUCUCACUAAAUAACUCUCUGCCAAGGCAGAAAUUCCCAUGAAAACACAAAACAAAUGUACCAGAGAGGUUGAUGGUAUAAGAGAUAAAACAGAGAUAAGGAGAAGGCAUGUUGCAAAGCAAUGCCUGUCAGUGCAAAAGAGGAACGGGAUUUAAUGGGAGGAAAGGAAAGGAGAGAAAAUUAAACGCCAUGAGUCUGCUCUGAGGUGGUGAGGAGACCCAACGUUACAUGUGUACCUGAACCUCUUCAACAGGAUGAUCCUGAGAAAUUGUAUAUAGGGCGAGUAAAAGUGGAAUGCACACUGGAAAUUGUCUAGCUGUUGGGAUCCUACUAUGAACCAUUUUCCAAAGUGAAGAAAACGCCCAUGAACCUCUAGUUUGUUUAUGGAGAGGACUUUGGCCAGCUGUACCCACAAAGCUUGAGAAUAUCACGUCUGCAUAUCACAGAAAUGUGAGGCCAAGUGACAGGAAAGAAGCCAAAACUACCUUCCAGAUGACUUCUUCCUACCACACUCCUCCUCCUUAGAGUAAGAGAAUUGUUUUUGGCAGAAUUGGUCUCCCAAACUGGAAGAGCUUCUCUGUAUUUAAUUUCCUCUCAGGAAGUUUACCUUCAGAAGUCCAAGUGUGAGGUCAAGCUUUGGGUUGCCGGAAAUGGUAAUGUCCUUUACUGUCUGAGCACCCAGACGACUCUUAAUGAAACAUCCUACUCUAUGGACAUUGCUGCUGCUGCUGCUGCUGAAUUAUGCAGCCUGCUCUUCUGCAUAUCUCUCCUGCAGUGGCUGGCCUUAUUUCUGCACAGUGCAUGGAUCAGAAUCUGGGGGGAUGCAGACAGCACGCACUGAAAGACCUAAAUGAAUGUGCAGAAGCAAGCCCCAGGCCCAGUUACCACUUGAUUUGGAAAUCGUUUUGGACUGUCCGACACAAUUAUGACUGAAAUCAAGUUUAAGGCCUGUGAGUCUUCGGUGAACAAAAUGGAAAUAAAUGCUGAAAAUUCCCCUGCCUACCUUGAAAGGCUGCCAUGGAGGGAGAGAUUGUUUUUCUGGUUAAGUUUAUCUUUGCAGGUGUUUUCUAGAAGCCUAUAGAGUCAGUCAGUGUGUAUGAGUCAUCCGGCUGUGGUAAGAUUAGAAAUUCCUAAAACAUGAUAUAGGAAUCCAGCAUUUGAGGCAGGGAAAAUGAAGGGGAGCAGCCCUCCAUGGCUUUUAUCACCGCCCCCCCCCCCCCCCCCCUGGUGGCCUCAUUUUCCUUCUUAAGUUUGGGACCCAUGCAGAGAGAGACACCUGUUUUCUAAUCUUUUUCUCCUUUCCUCUAUUUUUUUUCCUUUCCUGGCUCUCCAAAGCCAGGGCAGGUGCUUAUUUAAGUUGAGUGUCUAAAAGAUCAUAAUGAGAAAAUUGACGUUUUGUGUAAAAAUGAUUAAAAGAGGGAGAAGAUGGAAGAGAGACAGAAGGGGUGGAGAUGGGAAAAAGAACUGGGAAGAAGGGGCCUGGAGGGAGGGGAGCAGGAGGGGGGACUCUGAGCCUGCAGAGAUGGAUGGGGAAAAAGUCUGUGUUUAUUUAAAAGACUAACUGGGGGCAUGGCUAAAUUUUGCUUUUCUAUUUGGCCAUGCCAUGACUAAGGAAAACAAAGGCUAUUGCAGCUGCUGCUUCAGGAAAAGGCAAUCACUGCCAUUCACCUAAUUUAAAUUUUAAGAUGUUUAGAUGUUAAAAAUCUGCCAGAGCACAGUUUCUGUACUUUAGAAAUGGCUCAGUAGCUCAGAGCCCGUGAGAAGCUGGCCCUACGUGUUCUCUACUCCACAAUGCUCUUAGAUGACCGGUAAGUUUGGGUGACAACAGUGUUUCCACUGCCCGUUCAAAACUCUCCUUGGCCUGCUUUCCGGAAGCAGAGUACUACAUUGCAUAAUUAACAAUGAAAACGAGCAGCUUAAAUGCCUUUUCUCUGCAGAGGUCAGAUGCUCCCAUUUAUCUACUAAAUACCACUCUAUCCCUCAGCGUCCAGGAGUGAAAGAACCUGGACAAAUAAGUCAAGUUAAUUUCUUAAACGUGCUGCCAGAGUCCUUUCUGCUCUGUUACUUUUACUUUGAGGACACCUAGUGGCAGUUUAUAGGCAGCGUUCUUCAAGGCAAACCGAAAGAAACUUCAGGAUGUAGUAACUGUGGAGAAACGCUUACAACCGGACUUGCCGUUAGCCCGAAGACAAAAGAAGUGAGUAGAUUUUCCUUCCUUUUGUUUCUCUACUGCUGUGGAUGGGCCAGCGCCAGAUUCUGGAGCCAAAUUCCCACUCCCGCCUUUCACCGUCAUCAAACAAAAUUCCCGUGGCCUAGAUGUUUCACAAGUGGUUUUUAAUGAGCUCAUUGUUUAUUUGACACCAAUGACGACCUUUUAAAGACCACAGAAUGGCCACAAUCGGGUCAAUUCGUCAAUUAAUAAACAAACAUUGAUAGUGUGCCGUGGGCCGACAUUUUGAGGGGAUACAAAGAUGAGAUGGAUUCUAAGUGAAAGGGAAUCUUUUUCCCUUUACCUCUGGUGAUGAAGUCUCCUUCACAGCUGUGUCCUCAGAGCCAAUGACCUAAUCUCUUUGACUCUCCUUCUCCUCUUCUGUAAAAUGGAGGUGAUUGUGAAGAUUAUAUGAAAACCAGGACAACCUGCUUGGUGCCUGGUAUCUGGUAGAUACCGAAUAACAGUUAAGAUACUUCUCUCUCUACUGCCUUCCCCUACCCCAUACCUAGAAUGUGUUCUUUGCUGUAGCUGUCGUCUGGACAGAAGUGCUCACCGCUGCACAGAACUCUGCCAAGGCCACUCUGAGGCAUCACAUCUGAGUCCUGGGAGCUAAACACACCCACAGUUGUGGUUCUCCCUUGCAAUUCGGAUCUACUGGCUUGCCCUGGAUCCAUCUUACAACCCUGUUCUAUUGAAUCAAGAUCUGGAUGACACAUUGUCUUGGCAGUUGCAAAGCUCCCAGACGUCCUUCUAGUUCCCGGUUGGACAGUGAACACCUGCGCCCUCCAGCUGAAGAGCAACGUGGAAAGUCUGGAUUAGAGGAAGGAGCGCUGUUUGUUCCCUGCACAUAUUUUCAGGGUCUAAGCACAGUCAGCGCCAUCUGAAGUUUGGUUCAGCAGAAUUGAGGAAAUCUUGGCCUCCACAAAGAAGAAAAGUCCUAAACUGGAAAAGUGUUAAAACUACAGAACUCCAAAACAUACUUAAUCCUGGUGUGAUGCACGAAACAGGACUAAGAAAAGGGCCUGAACUCAAUGAAGAGUGGAAAUGCAAUUGGCAAAACUCUAAUACAAAGGCCUAAUUGAGAAUCCUACGAGGGUGUUUCCAGGGUAUUCUACAGGCCUCUUCACCAUGCCAACAUGAGAGAGCAGGGAACAGAAUGGGCGCUGCAGUGCUCCUGGGUGACCACUUCCUCCCCGACUGGAGAAGGUGAUGGCUGAGUCAACUGUUGACCUGAAAGCAAUAUCAAAAUGGCUAUUGUGCAGUACCAGUUUAUCAACUGUUCAAUGGAGAGAACUCGCUGAAGACUGUUGGAUUCAGUGGCAUGUAAGAUACCCGGGAAGUAGAGAAGACUGGUGGAAGUGAAUCAUUUGGAAUCCUAAAGAGCAGCCAGAUGUCCCUUCUUCAUACAGGGUCCGGAUAAUCUCUGCAGCUUUAAGAACUUUUCAAGAGAAAUAAUUUGUGAAGCUCAGUGGUGUUCAAAACAGGAUGCUACAUUUUUGUGGUCGUAUUUUGUAUUUCCUAGAAAGCAGGAAAAACUAAGACUGAAAUCUAUAAUAUCACGAUCUGUAUCAUACAUUCUCUUUUUCUGGAUCUUUUCCCAUUCUGGCAGGAAAGUGAAAUGACACUGAGACAUUCUCAGAAUGUAUGGAAUAGUAAUUUCUUACUAAUUUAAUGGUUGUUCAGUUAGAUCAUGGGGUAGCAAGCUUUUCUUUUGCAUCUUGAAUGUUACUUUACCUGUUGACAUGGCACCAUUCUUAAAGUCACAGACUCACGUAGGAUUUAUUCAUUUAGUAGUGUAAGGUGGGGUCGAUCAUCAGUCCUUUUCAAAUCUCACUCUCUCUUUCUUCCAUCUGCUUAUUUUCUUAUUCUGAGGUUCCCUUUUUCUUAUUAAUACUACCACUCAUCCUGGUCAACUGUAUUCGAAGUCUGUGGAGCAUUUUGACUAUCCCUACCCUAGAUGAUUUCUCCAUCAAGCAGCGUCUCUUUCCACAGUCGCACAUCUGUCUCCCUCCUUUCUGUUUUGUUUCCUCUAGCCUGAACCAGAGUGUUGUUAGUCUUUCGUCUUUCCUGUCACCAGUACAAGCUACACGCUGUCCUUUAAUAAAUCAUUCUGAAGAUCGAGACUAAUUGUAUCACUCUAUAGCUCAAAAACUUUCAAUAGUGUGAGGUGCUUAAAAGGAAGAAGAAAUAGAAGGAGAGGAGGAGGUGGAGGAAAAAGAGGAAAAAGAAGCAGGAAGUUGCCAGUGAAACAAAAUAAAAAGCUAAGAAAUUUUACUAUAUAUAAGAAUUGAACAUAAAGUACUGCUGGUAUGUCAAAUCAAUGGAAACUAUAUUUCAUGCAGUAGUAGCGCAUACUUGUUUUAAAAUAUUUAAAUUGAAUUUUUACCUUCCAGCAUACAACAAAAUAACUUUCAGAUUGAUCAGAAUAUUAAUCUAAAAAAAUUCCUAAAAAACUGGAAAGAUAUCAGAAAUAAAUAUUUAAUGUCAAGAUUAGAAGACUUUUCUAAAUAAAAAAAGCAAAACAAGAAAAAGAUUAAACAUAACAUAAGCAUUAAAAGUCCAGUAAGAACUCAUUCUCAAAAUCCAAAGCAAAUGGCCACCGAGAAAAAAAUAUUUCCAAGAUAUAUGACAUUCAAAGUCUGAAACCUGAGUGUAUUUAAAAUAUCAGUAUUUCUCACAAAUCAGCAGAGAAAAGAGCGCCCCAAUAGAAAGAAUCUGCAAAGAUUAUGGAGAGAGAAUUCACAAAAGAAUAGAAAUGAUCUAUAUCAUGAAAAGAAAGACAUCAAACUUAUUGGACUUUUUUCUUUUGUAUGUUCUUCCAUUGUUUUAAACUUAUGAAAUCCCUCCCUAUUUCAGGAUUGGCCAGUCAUUCUUUUUCUAGUUCAUGUUUUCAGUUUGCAUUUAAUAUUUUAAUUCACUCAAUUUAUUCGGAGGUAUGCUCUGAGAUAUUAGAGCCAAUUCAAUUGUUAUCUUUCCCUCCUUGCUAGAUUGUAAGCUCUUUGAGGGCAGGAGCAACGUGCUGUUUAUUUCUGUGGACCCUGAAGCAUGUGACAAACGUAUGAUGGACAAGAAUCAACAAGGAGGGGUGAAGAGGGGGGAUCAGAGAAGUUCUGAGAGAGGAGGCAUCUUUUGAGGUUAGUCUUAAAAAGUCUAAAAUAUUUUCAAGAUUUUGUCUUUUUUUUCCCCCCUUUCCUUUUGUGUGUCUCUUUUGGGUUAAUCGUGGCUUAAAGGCAACGUAACAUGACAUAAGAGAAAAGGGUUCUGAAGAAAGGCAAGUGAGGGAGGAUUCAAAUAUUGAUGCCACGAAUCACUUAUGUCACUCUGAGCCUCAAUUCCUCACCUUUAAAAUAGAUAUACUGAUCACUACUUGCACGGUUGUUAAGGAGAUAAAAUCCCAGGUUUGUAAGGUGAUCAGCGUACUGGUUCUAUUCUCUUUGUACUCCUCAGUUUUUUUGAUAUUCUGUAAGGGACACUGUGCAUCUCUUAGCCUCUUUCUCUGUAGUGAAGUAAAACUGUGGUAGUGGGGCCGGCUCCGUGGCCGCUCCGCUGCGGCGGCCCAGGGUUCGGAUCCUGGGCGCGGACAUGGCACCGCUCGUCAGGCCACGUUGAGGCGGCAUCCCACAUCCCACAACUAGAAGGACAUGCAACUAAAAUAUACAAGUGUGUACAGGGGGGGUUUGGGGAGAUUAAAAAAAAGCAGAAAAAAACCCCCAAAAAACAAAAAAAACUGUGGUAGUAUUUAUGAAAACAUCUUGUAACAUGGGAUUUUUCUCACAGCAUAAAGUACUAUUAAUUAAGUUUUUUGGUACAUAUUUAAGUGUAAAUUGCUUGUUAUGCUUUUGUUAAUGAUAAAUGGAAUGUAAGUGAUGUUUGAGUGAAACGGUUCAGAGUAGAUAAACAGAGGUAAGACAACAGAACAAGGUUAAGUGUGAAAAACAGAUAACCAAAAACAAUUCUAAUUUGUUCGAGUCACUCAGUAGAAAUGGCUUGGACUGGGGGGUCAGGCAAACAUGAGUUGGAGUCUCGCCCUGCGAUAAACUCUCUGUGGUACCUUUGGCAAGUUACUUGCCCUCAUUGAGACUCGGUUUCUCCACCUAUCAAGCUGGGAUUGAUAACAUUCCCACAGCAGGGGUGUUGUGAAGACCAACGAGAUGAGUAAAUGAAAGCAUAUGGCACACACUUGACGUUUGAUACAUGCUUCUUUUUUUGCUUCUUUUCUUUUCCCUCAAAGACUAAAUAGCAAGCCUGAUUCACCAUAACACCUCUGGGCAUUUAUGUGUUUAAAAGACAUGAAUAUGUUUUCUUAAGUACCCAACCAACUACCAGCGAGUGCCUUAGGCCUCAGGGAGAAUAGAUCUCACUUUUACAAAUGCGUUCAGACUUGAUCCCCUUGUUUAUACAAGGAUUUUUGGAUCCAUGUAUGUCUCAUGACACAGUCUAAACCUCCAUGCAUACUCAGUUAAUCAUCCAGAUUUGUCUUGCAGGCACACAGCCAUCAUUUUUGCUCUUGUGAAGACUGAGAACAUUGUGUACUUUUUCCUUUGUUUCAGGGGGCUAUCGUUCGUUGUUAUCGCUGCCUACUUUUUAAAUUUUGUGAGCUGUAAAAUGUAGUACUAUAUAUUCCUGAGUCUUUUUUUCCCACUGAGAGUAUUUAAGUUGAAUGUUUCUUUAAUAGUCUGGGAGGGAUGAUGCUGGUAAUAAAACAAAGCAUCGAAAUUUAAAAAAUAAGCAGUACAUUUAUAGCAAUUAUGUAGGGAUGUUAUUAGUGAAUAAAUACAGUAUUACAGAAUAAUAUAUCUAGGGUGAAAAAAUGCUAAUCACUAUAACCAAGCAAUUUUUUCUAGUUCUUUUUGUUUUUUAAUAAAAGAAUGCUUAUAUUUUAGAAUGACUAAAGCAUGGCCAACUAUAUUUGCAUCAGUUAUUUCAUGUAAUAAGAUAUAGCAGAGUAUUUACAUUGCUACUCUGUCUUUAAAAUUGUUAGUUAAGGAAAAUGAUUCCAGCCUCUCUUAUAGUCUCUCUAGAUAUGGCCUUGAAUGAAAAGAGGCAGCACCCUUUUCUCCCAUGAUAAAAUAUUCUCCACAUAAAAUUUUCCCUUCCUUUCCUAGGCUAUGGAGAUGUGGGUUUGCUGUUUCCUUUACCUGUAUGUCCUGAGUCAUAACUAUCUUGCUAGAAUAAAUAAUUUAACAAUUAA